Molecule: ribosomal RNA, 395 nt
Filed under: uncultured bacterium
Lineage: Bacteria
Description: partial 16S ribosomal RNA
Rfam family: Bacterial small subunit ribosomal RNA
Source: RNAcentral
AUACGUAGGGAGCGAGCGUUGUCCGGAAUUACUGGGUGUAAAGGGAGCGUAGGCGGGUCAGCAAGUCCGUUGUUAAAUCUAUCGGCUCAACCGGUAGCUGCGGCGGAAACUGUUGGUCUUGAGUGAAGUAGAGGCAGGCGGAAUUCCUAAUGUAGCGGUGAAAUGCGUAGAUAUUAGGAGGAACACCAGUGGCGGAGGCGGCCUGCUGGGCUUUUACUGACGCUGAGGCUCGAAAGUGUGGGGAGCAAACAGGAUUAGAUACCCUGGUAGUCCACACUGUAAACGAUGAUUACUAGGUGUGGGGGGUCUGACCCCUUCCGUGCCGGAGUUAACACAAUAAGUAAUCCACCUGGGGAGUACGGCCGCAAGGUUGAAACUCAAAGGAAUUGACGGGG